GAAAAUUUCCUACAGAGAAAAAAAAUAAUAUAAAACUUAUUAAAAAGAAAUUAAGUAGGGUAAGGGUAGAAUAGGAAAGAGAAAGAACAAAAUUGAUUAAAAAGUAUUAAAAAAUAAAAGAGAGUGUAAGUGGAAAAAAUGGGAGUGGGAAAAUAAGCUCCCCUAAACAUAUACAUUUGGCAGGUAUAUCGAUACUAACUUC
RNAcentral lists this long non-coding RNA (202 nucleotides) under Prunus persica (peach). RNAcentral describes it as "long non-coding RNA (PPER_LNC007666)". Lineage: Eukaryota; Viridiplantae; Streptophyta; Magnoliopsida; Rosales; Rosaceae. The record is from RNAcentral.